UCCUCUCCCCUUGCCUUUUCUAUUACUGGCAGGAUUUAAGCCCAGAGGAAGCUUAAAAGGAGGGUGGGCGGGGGCUGUUCUCUUCCGCUGUGCCCCCCGCCCCUGGUUUCCAAAACCCAGGUGGAGAAUCUGUUGCAUUUUCUGGACCAUGGCAGUUUCCUGGGGCUCAUCAUUCUCUCACCUGCUGCCAGACACCCUGGGCACAGCUGUUACCCCUCUUCUCCUGCCGGGAACGUCAAAAAGGAUAUUGUGGAGAUGGAAAAGGUUCAGAAGAGGGCAACCAAAACUAUCAAGGGGAUGGAGAGACUCUCCUAUGAAGAAUAGUUGCAGCAUUUGAAAACAGGUUGUAGUGCAAAUAAAAAACCCGGUUGCGACAUAUGAAGAAAUCUUGCAGUUUUUCGGACUUUUAAACUUAAAGAAAAGGUGAGGACCAAAACCAAUGGAUUCAAAUUGCAAGAAAGGAGAUUCUGACUAAAUACUAGGAAGAACUUUUUGAGGGUAAGAGCUGUUCAAUAGCAGAACACACAAGCUCAGGAGGUCAUGGACUCUCCUCCUUAGAGGAUUUUAAGCAGACGUCAGAUGGCCGGCCACCUGUCAGGUAUUCAUGAGAUGUGAUUUCUGCAUUGCAGGGGGUUGGGCUAGAUGACUCUUGGGGUCCUUUCCAACUCUUGGCUGCCCUCCUCUGCACAGCUUGUCAGUAUCCUCCUUAAAUCGGGGUGCCCAGAACUGUACAUAGGACUCCAGGUGGUGUGGGGCCAAGGCAGAAUAGGUUGCUAUUCGUUCCCUUCAUAUGGACACUAAACUUUUGUUGAUCAAGCCUAGGAUUGCAUGAGCCUUUUUUGCUGCUGCAUCACACUGUUGACUCAUGUGAAGCUUGUGGUCUCUACUAAGACCACCAGAUCCUUCCCACCUGUGCUGCUGUCAAGGGAGGUAUCCCCCAUCAUAUAGUUGUUCAUCUGAUUAUUUCUGCCUAAG
Podarcis raffonei (Aeolian wall lizard) is the source of this 975-nucleotide long non-coding RNA. RefSeq lists it as uncharacterized. The transcript is spliced from 2 exons. Lineage: Eukaryota; Metazoa; Chordata; Lepidosauria; Squamata; Lacertidae. The record is from RefSeq and is a predicted model, not a curated record.